RNAcentral lists this ribosomal RNA (447 nucleotides) under uncultured Streptococcus sp. RNAcentral's name for it is "bacterial SSU rRNA". It matches the Rfam family "Bacterial small subunit ribosomal RNA", at positions 930 to 1382 of the family's 1533-position model. The record is from RNAcentral. Lineage: Bacteria; Bacillati; Bacillota; Bacilli; Lactobacillales; Streptococcaceae.
CGGUGGAGCAUGUGGUUAAUUCGAAGCAACGCGAAGUAACCUUACAGGUCUUGACAUCCGAUGCUUAUUCUAGAGAUAGAAGUUACUUCGGUACAUCGGUGACAGGUGGUGCAUGGUUGUCGUCAGCUCGUGUCGUGAGAUGUUGGGUUAAGUCCCGCAACGAGCGCAACCCCUAUUGUUAGUUGCCAUCAUUCAGUUGGGCACUCUAGCGAGACUGCCGGUAAUAAACCGGAGGAAGUGGGGAUGACGUCAAAUCAUCAUGCCCCUUAUGACCUGGGCUACACACGUGCUACAAUGGUUGGUACAACGAGUUGCGAGUCGGUGACGGCGAGCUAAUCUCUUAAAGCCAAUCUCAGUUCGGAUUGUAGGCUGCAACUCGCCUACAUGAAGUCGGAAUCGCUAGUAAUCGCGGAUCAGCACGCCGCGGUGAAUACGUUCCCGGGCCUU